CAUAGUUGUGGUUGUACAACUACUAAAACUUCCAAAACUGUAAUAUUGUGCUAUUUAUUAAAUCACUUUUAGUAGCUAGCUGUGGAAAUAGUUAAUCAAAUGCAGGUGAACAUUUGUAGAGUUAGAUGAGAGAUAAUGAUGUCUAUGGCCUCACAGAUAAUGCACUGUAAUACUUUUUUGUGCCAAUUUGAGGUUUAGUAGUGAGUAAUGAUGGAGUAGGGUGCUUUUGAUAGAUCUGGCAUUUGUACUACAAAACCCUCCACUCUGCAAAGCUAAGCAGGUAUGUCUGUACGGUUGUGAACCUUUGUCUAUUAACAUAGAUCUUUGAGUGCUUUUAUUUCAUGGACAUCUGUGUAUAUGUCUCUUUUCAGUUCUCAAAUCAGUUUGGGCAUGGCCAGCUUUUUACUUGACACAAUCCAUGUGAAAGAUUUGCACUUUCAUCAGUUUGCAUAAUUUUGUGACCUGAAAAGGUUGUUUAGUUUCUAGAUGGUGCUGUUCAGUGGAAUGUGCAUAUAUCAGCUUGAUCUACAUGUGUAUUUGGCAUUCUUAAAACCUCUUUAAACAACAACAAUCAAGUUUUAAUUCCACUAGGUCUGAUUUCUUGAAGAAUAUCAUGUGAAUAUUUGUUCUUAUAAUGUUACAUGGUUUUAUAUUAUAUGGUAUGACAUUAGCUUAACUGUUAGUGGUUUAAUUUGGCCAUUGUAUGUUAUUAUAUUAUAUUAUUUCAUAUCACCCAUUAUUGGUUGUCUCUUUGAAUGAUCUAUUCUACAUGUGAUUUAUGUUUAGAUUAGUGAUGUUUUGCUUUGACAUUAACUUCAAUUCAUAAUCUGAAAAUUGUAAGCACUUAAUUUCAUAUUUUACUUCGGUUGGAUAGUAAUGCGCUCUCAUUACUUUCUCUUGCAGUAUGGGUCUUCUUUCAAGCAGAUCAAGUUUGGAGGAUAAGUUCAAACUAAGAAAUUAUUCUCUGUGUUGUUAUGAAAACUAAAGUUGUAAUAACUUGACUCUGAAAACAAGAAUUUAAAAAAAAUAAUACUUUAUAUUUAUAAAUUUUUAUGUAGAGUGGGUAAGUUGUUGCCAAAAUGUGUACACAAUAAUGGAUAAAACUAAUGAACAUAUUUGAUUAUUGCUUCCUAAUUGUUGCUUGGUAUUAGUUGCAGGAUUGAUGUUUGGCUUGGCAUAAGUUAGACAGAAAUUGCAGCAUUGGCUUGGUCAGAUGGUGCAUCAUUGCCUCGGUCAGGACUUGGCACAGAUUGUGCAGAUUGGCUUUGUGUUCUCUUUGUUAUGGCUCUUGUGACUUACAUCUUGAUGCCUUAGUUUGGUUUCAUCUGUUUUUAGUGUUUAU
Molecule: non-coding RNA, 1342 nt
Organism: Lupinus albus (white lupine)
Lineage: Eukaryota; Viridiplantae; Streptophyta; Magnoliopsida; Fabales; Fabaceae
Source: the annotation of a GenBank genome assembly